Non-coding RNA from Callithrix jacchus (white-tufted-ear marmoset), 9005 nucleotides. NCBI's taxonomy places the organism in Eukaryota, Metazoa, Chordata, Mammalia, Primates, Cebidae. The record is from RefSeq and is a predicted model, not a curated record.
UUCAAAUAAUUCAAAAUCUAACUACAGAGAAAACGAAUUUAGAAAUCUAAUUAGUCUUAACAAAGCUCAAAGCAAACGUUAACUCAGAACAUGUCUGUGCCGCAUACUUAGUAAGAGCUUGCUACCAAUCUAUUGCUGUGUAACAAAACAUCCCAAAACUUUGUGGCUUAAGACAAUCACCAUUUUACAUUUUCUCCCAGUUCCAUGUGGCCUAGGCUCUGCCAGGUGGUUUCUGGGCACCUCAUGACACUGGCUGGGGCUGCUGUCACGUGAUGGGGCUCUCCUGGGCUGGGCCUCCAAACUGGCUCCACACAUGGCCAGUGUGAGUGUGCUGGCCCUCAUGGGCAGAGUGCUCAGCUUCGGGUCCCCAGCGAGUCUACGCCCAGGCCCUCCUGCUGGCUUGGGCAUCUCAAGGCACAGUGGUUAGGGUCCAAGAAGGAGCCCCCUGACUUGGUCUCUUAUGGGCUUCUAAUAAAAUGCUUAGACCAGGCCAUUUCUAAACAAUAGGCACUUAUUGCUGACAGUUCUGGACGUUGGGAAGUUUAAGAUGAAGGCAGUUUUGGUGUCUGGUGAGGUUUUGCUCUCUGAAUCAAAGGUGGCACCUUUUGGCUGCAUGCUCGAAUGGCAGAAGGGUCAAGUCCGAAUCACCCCAGGCUCUUUUAUAAAAGCAAAAAUUGGCGGGGUGCAAUGGCUCAUGCCUGUAAUCCCAACACUUUGGGAGGCUGAAGCGGGUGGGUCACAAGGUCAGGAGAUUGUUAGACUAUCUUGUUAGACUAUCUUGGCUAACAUGGUGAAACCCUGUGUCUACUAAAAAUACAAAAACUUGGCCAGGCAUGGUGGUGGGCACCUGUAGUCCCAGCUACUCAGGAGGCUGAGGCAGGAGAAUCACUUGAACCUGGGAGGUGGAAGUUGCAAUGAGCCGAGAUCACACCACUGCACUCCAGCCUUGGUGACAGAGCAAGACACUUUUGAAAGAAAAGAAAAGAACGAAGGAAGGAAGGAGAAAGAAAGGAAGAAAAAAAGAAAGAGGAAAACUGAAUGUCACAGGUGCACCGCACAUUGGUGGAGACGUGGGGAAUUGUGAAUGGAAAGAGGGUCUGCCUCCUAGCCCCACUCCCCACCCUGCAGGACCCCUGGGAGGUGAUGCAGAGCCCCCGGGCUCGGGUCCCUGCUGAGUGGGUGUGGCUGCGGGGUGCUCCCUGUGCUGCAUCCUGAACCCGGAACUUGCCUGGGAGUUUUUUCCCCUUGCACCUGCCCGGGCUUCCUCCAGUCACUGGCUCCUAGAGGCUUUUUCUUGCCCACUCUGUCUACAGUUUUGACUCUCCACCCUCACCCACUGUAGCCUCUGCUGUAAACGUUUUCUCUGCAGCAGUCAGGCGCUGGUGCCCAUGAGGCAGGGUUUGGUCUGUCUUGCUCAGCCACUGUUUUCUCAGGGCGUGGAGCGCUGCCUCAUGGGCACCAGUAAGUGCGUAGAGCUCUUGUGGGACUGUGUGCACACGAAGCUGCUCUCCCAACCUUUACUCUCCAAGGGGAGAGGAGGGGAGAAAUUGCCCUAAUUCUUCUACUUCCUCUGCAGACCCAGAGUCUCCCAGGUCUGAAAGGGAAGGACGGGACUCAGAGGCCAGCUUCCCGCCCCGCACCCACACCUAAAGAAUCCCAGUCUCCAGCACCUGCCCUUCCCCGCACUCCAGCGGAUUCUGAUCACAGCAGGUGUGGGGCUGCCCCUGGCCUCAUCUCCAGGUCUGCAGGUUCUGCACUCCCUGCAGCUCUUCCCAGGUGGCGGCGCAAGGUGAGGCUGCUGAGCGGAACUCUCCUCCCAGAGCCCCUGGGUCCCCACCAGCGGCUGCCCACCACCAGCCCCACCCCAAGAUCAAGACCAAGUUCCUCGGGCAGGCACCUCUCCUGGCUGCCAGGAAAGUGACAUGCAGGUGGGCCCUCUGAUGCCAGAUUCAGACUUCUCUGUCAGAGGCGACUGUUAACAUCACCCAGGUCAGCCUCAACCUCCCAGGCUCAAACAAUCCUCUCACCCAAGCAUCCCAAGUAGCUGGAACUACAGGCGUGCGCCACUAUACCUGGCAAACUUUUUGUAUUUUUGUAGAGACAGCAGGGGUUGUGGGGUGGGAGGUGUCUCACGAUGCUGCCCAGGCUGGUCUCAAAGUCCUGGACUUGAGCAGUCCUCCCGCCUCAGCCUCACAAAGUGCUGAGAUUACAGGCAUGAGCCACCACACCUGGCCUCACCUGGGGUUUUUACAUAAUACCCAUACCUGGGUUCCACCUGGGCCAAUUAAGCCAGAGCCCCUGGGGUGACGCCAGGGCCUGGGUAUUUGCUCUAUUCACUUUUAUGUAUGUAUUUGUCAGCUCGCCCAGUGAUCCUGGCAUUCAGUCAGGGCAGGGAACUAUUGGGAAAGACUCAGGGGCUCUCAGCCCGGGGCAUGGUGCUCCCAGGGGACAGGUGGCAGUGUUGGGAGAUAUAUUGGUUGUCAUGACUUUGAGGGACGGUGCUCCUGGCACCUCGGAGGCAGAGGCCAGGGAUGGUUCUCAGCACCCACAGUGCGCAGGACAGCCCCAGCACAAAGGGUGACCAGCAGAGAUGCCCACGGCGCAGACACUGGGAAACUGAUGCGGGAGGGCAAACCCACUGUUCUCUCGGCAGCAGCCUCCUGGGGGAGGAGGCAGAUUAAACCGGAUUCUUUCCAUUCCUCAUCUCAGUCUGUAUAGUUGACAAAACACAUCUUCCUUGGCCUUGGCUCAUUAGUGCAGCAUCCCCUCCCCCAGGGCUGAGGCAGGAGCCAAACUCCCCAGGGAUGAGCGACUCCUGUCUCCUCCGCUGGGGGCAGGAGAGCGCAGGAGUGGAGACCGGCUGUCUCCACUCCUCGAUGGCUGGGAGACCCACAACCUGUGACCUCCCUAAGCCCAGGGCACCACACCUGGGAGGGUUGCCACGAACAGGCCACCUGCUCGGUGAGGGCUGCCUGCACAGUUGGCGUCAGGUUAAAUACAGAACCUGAUAAAUAAGUAAAUCCCAGGUUCUCUUUUGAGGAAACUGAGGCCCAGAGACAAGCUCAUCUUCAUCAGUGUCACCCCUUCUGCAUCCUUCCAGAACAAGAAGGCAGGGUGAGGGUGCCUGCCUGUCUGUCAUCCCUAGGGACUUCCGCGACACUAUUAGAGGAGACAGUUCAUAGUGGCUCUGCCUCAAAGCUCCCUGGGGAGGAGCAGGACAUGCGACCCUCAGCAGCCCAGGAAAAGGCCCCUUGGGACCUUCAGGAGGGGCUGCACUUUCCCAGAGACCCGCUGACUCCUUGAAGGGCUGGGGCACAGGGAGCCCCUGGGAAGGGCAGGAAGCAGCAGUGCAGGGAGACAGAUAUUAAGCACAUCUUUGCCCAAUCCCGAAAGGGAACCUGGCUCCAGGGCAGGCACAGCUGGGUUGUGAGGUGACCCAUGGAGGAGGGAGUGCUGUGCUGUAGGGUCUCAGAGCCUUGGUUCUUAGUCGCCUAGGUUUGUCCAUCUCAGUUCCUCAAGAGCCUAGAUCUGAUCACUGCCUCCCCACACCCAAAGGGUCGGCACACAGCCAGGCAUGAUGAUUUGCCCACAGCCAGCUUGCUGAGCCCCCUCCCCCUCGUGCCCUGAAGCCUCUGAGCUCUUCCUGGCUUUCUAAGCCCUCCCCCAGGGAUGUGCCCUCAGCAGGGAGCCUCCUGCACCCCCCCAGUCCUGCAGCUGGGGCAGCAGCUUUCAUGGGCACACCCACCAGCCCAGCACGGGCCAGCGGCAGGUCCCAUCCUGCCUCUGGAGGGUGGAGAUGAGUAGAAGGAAGGUCCUGCCCCAGGCCUACCCUUGUCUUUGUUAGAGGGAUGGGAGUGGGGCCCAUGAUCCAUUUCUGCCUGUCAGGGUAACCUGAAGAUCACCCCAUUUUUGGCAAUGGCUCAAGCAGCAGUACACGGCUAAGACGAUGACUCCAUUUCCUGCAACUCUUUGCCACAUUCACUAAGGCAAUGUCACUUUCCUGCUCUGUGACUCAGUUUCCCCUCCUAAGACUCCAGAAAUAUACAGGGCCCAGGGUGUGGAGACCUUGGGCUUGUAGGGUCGGGAGGGUACCACAGGCUUAUGACAAUGACAUGGAAAGCACAGGGCAGGCAUCUUUGUGUUCCUCCUACCCCACUGGGCAGAUGUCCGCAGAGGCCUCCACACAGGUGGGGCUGACUGAGGGUGUGUGCCUCCUAAGAAGCCCAUCUGGACAAAAGACUUCUGUGUCCACACUGCGGGGAGCUGGGGGUUCCUCUCGCGGGUGCUCAAGGUCAGCACCAAACACCUGCAGCCGCCCAGGGGGCUCAGAAGCAAGCCCUGACCUCCUUGUAGACUGGACCCCCAGGUUUACCCGAAAAUGGGGUGCAAAGGCUUGCGUGGAGCAAAAGGGAACGCGCACAGCUGGAGCGACAGGGAAGGGGCACUGCCUACCAGUCCCUGGGGUCAUGCACCACCGGAGGGCGGCUGCAGAUGGCCAGAUGGGGGAGCUCCCUGUUCUCGCCUCCACUCUUCACAUCUGGGCGGCGGGGUUCACUGAAGCCGAGACCCCCAGUAUAGAAGAAACCCUGGUGCUCCGUUUCACCACCCAGGGCUGGGCAGGGUCGCAGGGAGCCCGGCACCCAGCCCCGGAGAGGGGCGCACCGUGGGGAGCCCUACGGACCGCGGUCCAAACUUUCCCCGGGACGGCCCAGGGCCUGGCGGGAGGAACCAGGCGAGCAGCGAAGGGUCGGGACAGCCGCCGAAGGCUCCGGGCGGGUCCUGGCACGCUCCAGGGAGGCGGCGGGCGGGUCCGCUCCGCCCCGCGCCGGACCGGUGCAAUCCCGGCGCCCGCGGCCCGGCGGCUGCAGUCAGCGCCGCCCUCCAGGAGUGGGGCGGGACCGCGGGAGGCGCGCGGCGGCCCGAGCGCCGGCCGGGCCAUGACCCCCGCUGUUCUCUCUUGCAGGCUCGUCGCCGCGGCCCCCCGAGCCCGGCCGCAGCCGCCACCGCCACCAGCGCCCGGGCGUGCCCCGCGCGCGGCUCCGCAGUAAGCCCACCAGGAAGGAAGUGGCCUGUGGAGACGCCGACAUGGGGCUCAACAUGUCCUGCCUGAAAGGGAAGGGACCCAGGUCAAAGAGGAAAGGGAAGGUGCUCACAGGGCAGAUCCCAGGAGGCCCCAGGCACAGGCUCCUACCGUCCCUCCCCGUGGAGCUGUGGACAGCGCCCACUCCUCCCGCCGAUGACGAUGGUGUGUGAUGGCACGGAGCAUCGCCAGGUGGGAAGCCCCUGGCCUCAGUGGCCACAGUUCUUAUGGGGCAUUAUGGGCUGAACUCUGUCUCCCAAAAAUUCCUAAAUAAUCCUCCUGGCCCCAAGGGCCUCAGAAUGUGACCUUGUUGGGAGUAGUGUCUUUGCAGGUGUACUGAGCUGAGAUGAGGUUAUUUUAGUAGUGUGAGCUCCUAAUACAAAAGGACGAGUGUCUUUAUCAAAAGGGGAGAUCUGGGCCGGGCUUGGUGGCUCAUGCUUGUAAUUUCAGAACUUUGGGAGGCCGAGGCGGGCGGAUCACCUGACGUCAGGAGUUUGAGACCAGCCUGGCCAACACAGUGAAAUUCUGUCUCUACUAAAAAUACAAAAAUUAGCUGGACGUGGUGGCACAUGCCUGUAAUCACAGCUACUCGGGAGGCUGAGACAGGAGAAUUACUUGAACUCAAGAGGUGGAGGUUGCGGUGAGCCAAGAUCAUCCCGCUGUACUCCCGCCUGGGCAACAGACUGAGAUCCAUCUAAAAAACAAAAAGGAGAAAUCUGGACAGAGACAGGACACAGGGAGAAACAGUAUGAAGGCAAGAGGCAGAGGUGGGUGAUGCUUCUACAAGCCUAGGAACGCCAGAUUGUCAGCAGCCACCAGAAGCCAGGAGAGGGGCCUGGAACAGUCUCCCUUGCAGCCUCCAGAGGAUCCAGCCCUGCCGACACCUGGAUCUGGAACUUCUGACCUCUGGAUCUGUCAGACAAUGAAUGUCCUUUGUUCCAGCCCCCCGGUUUGCUGUGGCAACCGCAGGAGACGAAGGCAUGGGGGCUUCUCUGGAGGCUGAUUGAUUGCUCACUUGGAGCUCAGGCUGCAGGCUGCCGUCUCUCUGGGCAUGACCCAGGGCCCCCACCAUCAAUCACAUCUUUGGAAGCCAGGUAUAACCAAGGCCCCGGCAAACAAAGACUCUCCUAUCAAGCAGGAUAUUCCAAGGGCUGAGAGAGCACCUCCCAGAAACUGCGGACAGAAAUCAACCUCUUUUUAGGCAAGGUUAAAUUCUUUUUCUUUUUUUCUCUUUUUUGAGAUGGAGUUUCGCUCUCGUUGCCCAGGCUGGAGUGCAGUGGCGCGAUCUCGGCUCACUGCAACCUCUGUCUCCUGGGUUCAAGUGAUUCUCCUGCCUCAGCCCACUGAGUAGCUGGGACUACAGCCACCUGCCACCAUGCCCAGCUAAUUUUUUGUAUUUUUAUUAGAGAUAGGGUUUCACCAUCUUGGCCAGGCUGGUCUUGAACUCCUGAUUUCAGGGGAUCCAUCUGCCUCGGCCUCCCAAAGUGCUGGGCCAGAUUCUUUACUAUGCACAGGGUCCAGAGAGGAGAUGCAGUGCACCCAGGGUCACACAGCUGGUGGCCUGAUUCCAAAGUCAGUGUGUGUGCUGCCUUCAGUUUUUCUGAGCCUACAGCUUUCAUCAAGGGGCAAGUGAACCAAGAGUUUGGCCUGAAUGGCAUGGCUUCAGGUCCCCUAGGUGCACAUGCUUUCUGUGGAUUCAAACAGACUGUCCCGGACAGCCCAGAGGUAACCUGCCCCUCAGAGGAACACCCCUUUGGUGAACAAAGGUUGCCCUGAGAAGCCCCCUGUGAUUUCACAUACCACAGCCAGGUAUGCGAUCCCCACUGUGCACCUGCCAUCCCUUCCUCCCGAGGUCAGGGAAAGAUUUGCUGACUCUGUCGGUAAUCUAUCAUUGCUUAACAAACUAUGCCAAAACGUUGAGGCUUCAACAUCAAGCUUUUAUUAUCUCAGAGUUUCUGUGGGUCAGGAAUUGAGGAGUGGCUUAGCUGCCUGGUUCUGGCUCAGGGUCAAUCAGCCAGGGCUAUAGUCUCAUCUGGUGGCUGGACUGGGGCUGGAGGCUCAUCUGGUGGCUGGACUGGGGCUGGAGGCUCAUCUGAUGGCUGGACUGGGGCUGGAGGCUCUGCUGCUGAGGUGCCUCCCUCAUGGCUGUUGGCUCAAGGUCUUAAUUCCUCACCCGCAUGGGCUUCUCCAUAGGCCACUUGAGCAUCCUCAUAACAUGGCGGCUGGCUUCCCCAAGAGCAAGCAGUCUAAGAGAGAGCAAGAAGGAAGUUGCCAUGUCUUUCAUGACCUCACCUUGGAAGUCUCGCACCAUCAUGUCUGUCCUAUUUUGUUUGUUGGAAGCAAGUCACUAAGUCCAUCUUACACUCCACCUCGUAGGGCCGUAGUUUAGAACCUCCACACUGACCCUACGAUGGUCACUUAGGAACAUUGCCCUGAUGGUGGUCACGGGAGGCCUGAGAACAUUAGGAAAAAUAGGUCCCCCCAACCCCUUAUACUCAGCGCCUCCUGUUGGUCAGGGGCUCUGGUGCUUGAGCUAAUUUAAUCCUAGCCUGGCACUGUUUGGGGCAAUCCCCAGAGUGACGGGUGUAGAGACAAAGACUGAUGGUUUUGGUUGCAUUUAAAUGUUAUUUUAUUUUUUUUUUUUUUUUUGAGAUGGAGUCUCACUCUGUCGCCAGGCUGGAGUGCACUAGUGUGAUCUCGGCUCACUACAACCUCCGCCUCCCAGAUUCAAGCAAUUCUCCUGCCUCAGCCUCCCGAGUAGCUGGGACUACAGGCAUCCACCACCAUGCCCGGCUAAUUUUUGGAUUUUUAGUAGAGAUGGUGUUUCACCACUUUGGCCAAGAUGUUCUCAAUCUCUUGACCCCGUGAUCCACCCACCUUGGCCUCCCAAAGUGCUGGGAUUACAGGUGUGAGCCACCUCAACACCCCCCCCCCCCCGACUUUUUUAAAAAAUUAAGACAGAGUCUUACUCUGUCACCUAGGCUGGAGUGCAGUGGAACAAUCUCAGCUCACUGCAACCUCCACCUCCCGGGUUCAAGUGAUUCUCUUCCUGCUUCAGCCUACCGAGUAGCUGGGAUUACAGGUGUGCACCACCACACCAGGCUAAUUUUUGUCUUUUUAGUAGAGGCAAGUCUUCACCAUGUUGGUGAGGCUGGUCCCCUACUCCUGACCUCAGGCGAUAUACCCACCUCGGCCUCCCAAAGUGCUGGGAUUACAGGUGUGAGCCACCACUCCCGGCCAGCAUUUAGAAUGUAAAGCACUCCUACUUACUCUGUCAUGAGCAUGUCCUAGGCUCAAGGGAAACACAGGUGAAUGAAGUAGUGACUGUCCUCCUGGUGUUCACAGCAAAGAGCGACAGAAACGAAAAAAAAAAAAAUCAUUGAUGAAUGAGUGAGUGCAGAUGGGCAAAAGCGGGAGCCGCAGGUCUGCUGGGGUGCCUUUCCCAGGGAAGAGCCUGGCGCACUGGGCUUUGAAGGAUAAGGAGGAGCUUGUUACUCUGGCAGAGAAAGAAAGAGCGUCCCAGGCCAGGGGAACAGCAUAUGCAAAGGCAUGAAGGGGCCCAGGGAGCCGGGGAGUCUGGGGAAGUAUGAGUGCUUUGGAGUAUAGGGGCUGAUGGCUGCAGGUGAAGCUGGAACUAGCUGGGCCACAUGGUGAAGGACGAAAACUGGACCCAGAGGCUGACUGGCCUGUGAGCCGCAUUUCCCAAAAUCUGUUUCCCGACUCAUGGUUCUGUGAGAUGUGACAGGGGCUCAGUUAGCAUUCCUGAGACUCGGGUUUUCAUCUGUGGGGCGGGGACAGCGGCGCCCUUUGCUGUGAGGCGUCAGGACUCAAGUGACGGUGAAUGGGGGGGCGGCCCACGGUUCCUGGCGGCCACUGAUCCUGUCUCUCUGUCAUGUGUGUACGUGCGUGUGUGCUCCACGCCUGG